GUGUCAGCCGCCGCGGUAACACGUAGGAGGCGAGCGUUAUUCGGAUUUACUGGGCGUAAAGCGCGUGUAGGCGGCUCUAUAAGUUGGAUGUGAAAGCCCUGGGCUCAACCCGGGAAGUGCAUUGGAAACUGGACAGCUUGAGUACGGGAGAGGGUAGUGGAAUUCCGAGUGUAGGGGUGAAAUCCGUAGAUAUUCGGAGGAACACCGGUGGCGAAGGCGGCUACCUGGACCGAUACUGACGCUGAGACGCGAAAGCGUGGGGAGCAAACAGGAUUAGAUACCCUGGUAGUCCACGCCGUAA
Molecule: ribosomal RNA, 301 nt
Filed under: uncultured bacterium
Lineage: Bacteria
Description: bacterial SSU rRNA
Rfam family: Bacterial small subunit ribosomal RNA
Source: RNAcentral